Long non-coding RNA from Chenopodium quinoa (quinoa), 888 nucleotides. RefSeq lists it as uncharacterized. The transcript is spliced from 3 exons. Lineage: Eukaryota; Viridiplantae; Streptophyta; Magnoliopsida; Caryophyllales; Amaranthaceae. The record is from RefSeq and is a predicted model, not a curated record.
GGAAAUGGAAAACCGAAAAAAACCGAAAACCGAAAUUUAGGCCCAGUAUAUAAGGAAAAAAAAAAAACCCUAACCCUCAUUCUCUGAUUCUCUCUCCUGACUUCCUCAAUCCUCAGUUCGCCUCUUCCUCACUCCAACCCACCUAACCCUCAUUGCGAAUUUCUCAGUCUCUCACCCUCACCUUCUCAGUUUCUCAAUCAUCUCUUUUGUGUUUCUCAGAAUUCUCACUCUCCAAUUCUCCAUCGUUCACCGGCACAGCGCACUCGUUCAGGCGUUCACUGUGACACCGUCCACCGUCCAAAGAUUGUUAUUCAACCACGAAUUAUUGAAUGACAACCAACGUGGGUGGUGUUCCUGACCAGCCUCAAUCCGAACAUGAGACUGACCAAGUCUCUCAAAAUCAGAAAAAAGAACAGGGAGCAAAAAGGAAGAGGAUGAAAGAACGCUCUGAAGUUUGGGAGCACUUUGAUAAAGAAGACUUACCUUCUGGAAUGCAGGCAAUUUGCAAGUAUUGUGGGAUGAGCUACAAGUGUGGGGCAAAGAAAAACGGCACUAGUGUGUUAUGGGCUCAUAUUUCGCGAUGUCACUUGCUACUGCCUUGCUCUAUCACUGCUUUUGCUGCUGACCUGCUGUUAUGAUGCUGCUGCUGCCCUGCUGCUUGUUGCUACUUGGUCUAUGCUGCUUGUUGCUACUUUUUUUACUGCCUUUUAGAACUUGGUCUAUGCUGCUUGUUGCUACUGCUGUUAAACAAUUGUUAAAGUUGUAAUGUUGAACAAUUUUUUUUUUUUUUGGAUGAAGUGUUGAACUUUUAAAACUUUGAAUUAUAACUUUGAAGUUUUAGAACUUGUUAAUGUUGUUUAAAUCUCAUUAAGCAUUUAUGCUACUACA